This 398-nucleotide ribosomal RNA is filed under the name uncultured bacterium. Its description in RNAcentral is "partial 16S ribosomal RNA". It matches the Rfam family "Bacterial small subunit ribosomal RNA", at positions 523 to 918 of the family's 1533-position model. The record is from RNAcentral.
AUACGUAGGGUGCGAGCGUUGUCCGGAAUUACUGGGCGUAAAGAGCUCGUAGGUGGUUUGUCGCGUCGUCUGUGAAAUUCCGGGGCUUAACUCCGGGCGUGCAGGCGAUACGGGCAUAACUUGAGUACUGUAGGGGAGACUGGAAUUCCUGGUGUAGCGGUGAAAUGCGCAGAUAUCAGGAGGAACACCGGUGGCGAAGGCGGGUCUCUGGGCAGUAACUGACGCUGAGGAGCGAAAGCAUGGGUAGCGAACAGGAUUAGAUACCCUGGUAGUCCAUGCCGUAAACGGUGGGCGCUAGGUGUAGGGGUCUUCCACGACUUCUGUGCCGUAGCUAACGCAUUAAGCGCCCCGCCUGGGGAGUACGGCCGCAAGGCUAAAACUUAAAUGAAUUGGCGGGG